AGGGGCCACCGUCGCUCCCGCGCU
Molecule: microRNA, 24 nt
Filed under: Sus scrofa (pig)
Lineage: Eukaryota; Metazoa; Chordata; Mammalia; Artiodactyla; Suidae
Description: ssc-mir41
Source: RNAcentral